RNAcentral lists this ribosomal RNA (505 nucleotides) under uncultured bacterium. RNAcentral describes it as "bacterial SSU rRNA". It matches the Rfam family "Bacterial small subunit ribosomal RNA", at positions 1 to 509 of the family's 1533-position model. The record is from RNAcentral.
CAACAGCUAGAGUUUGAUCCUGGCUCAGGAUGAACGCUGGCGGCGUGCUUAACACAUGCAAGUCGAGCGAAGCGCUUUUGGAAGUCUUCGGGCGGAAGGAAGCGACUGAGCGGCGGACGGGUGAGUAACGCGUGGGUAACCUGCCUCGUACAGGGGGAUAACAGUUAGAAAUGACUGCUAAUACCGCAUAAGCGCACGAGAUCGCAUGAGAACGUGUGAAAAACUGAGGUGGUACGAGAUGGACCCGCGUCUGAUUAGGUAGUUGGUGAGGUAACGGCUCACCAAGCCGACGAUCAGUAGCCGACCUGAGAGGGUGACCGGCCACAUUGGGACUGAGACACGGCCCAAACUCCUACGGGAGGCAGCAGUGGGGAAUAUUGCACAAUGGGGGAAACCCUGAUGCAGCGACGCCGCGUGAAGGAAGAAGUAUUUCGGUAUGUAAACUUCUAUCAGCAGGGAAGAAAAUGACGGUACCUGACUAAGAAGCCCCGGCUAACUACGUGCC